This 710-nucleotide ribosomal RNA is filed under the name uncultured archaeon. RNAcentral describes it as "bacterial SSU rRNA". It matches the Rfam family "Archaeal small subunit ribosomal RNA", at positions 53 to 766 of the family's 1478-position model. The record is from RNAcentral.
GCGAGUCGAGAGGGUUAGACCCUCGGCGAACGGCUCAAUAACACGUGGAUAAUCUGCCCUCAGGACGGGGAUAACCCCGGGAAACUGGGGAUAAUACCUGAUAAGUGGAUAUGUCUGGAAUGGCUUUCCGCUAAAAUGCUCCGGCGCCUGAGGAUGGGCCUGCGGCCGAUUAGGUUGUUGGCGGUGUAAUGGACCACCAAGCCUGCGAUCGGUACGGGCGUUGAGAGACGUAGCCCGGAGAUGGGGACUGAGACACGGCCCCAGGCCCUACGGGGCGCAGCAGGCGCGAAAACUCCGCAAUACACGAAAGUGUGACGGGGGGACCCCAAGUGCUCUCGCGCAAGCGAGUGCUUUUGUGAAGUGUAAAUAGCUUCAUGAAUAAGAGCUGGGUAAGACCGGUGCCAGCCGCCGCGGUAACACCGGCAGCUCGAGUGGUGAUCACUAUUAUUGGGCCUAAAGCGUCCGUAGCCGGUUUGAUAAGUCCUUGGGCAAAUCCUGCCGCUUAACGGUAGGAAUUCUGAGGAUACUGUCAGACUUGAGGCCGAGAGAGGUCGGAGGUACUUCUGGGGGUAGCGGUGAAAUGCUAUAAUCCCUGGGGGACCACCAGUGGCGAAGGCGCUCAACGAGAACGGACCUGACGGUGAGGGACGAAGGCUAGGGGAGCGAACCGGAUUAGAUACCCGGGUAGUCCUAGCUGUAAAGUAUGCUGG